RNAcentral lists this long non-coding RNA (1209 nucleotides) under Canis lupus dingo (dingo). RNAcentral's name for it is "lncRNA (ENSCAFG00020020247.1)". The stretch from base 670 to 760 matches the Rfam family "mir-8799 microRNA precursor family". Lineage: Eukaryota; Metazoa; Chordata; Mammalia; Carnivora; Canidae. The record is from RNAcentral.
GGUUUUCCUUCUAGUCAUUUUGCUCAGUGCAGAGUGGCCAAAAGCAAGUUGUAUUGGGAAAAAGAGAAAAAGAGAGGAGAGAAAGAAGGAAAGAAAAGAGAAAGAGAAAAAAAGGGGAAGAGAAAAAAAAAACGAAAGAAAAAAAAAGAAGAAAAAGAGAAAGAAAAAGAAAGGAGAAAAAAAGGGGGGGUGGGGGAAGGAAACAAAUCAAAAAGCAAAACAAAACAAAACAAAAAAAAAAACAAAAAAACAAAACAAAACAAAACAAAAAACCAAAAAAAAAAAAAAAAAGAAAAAAAAAAAAAAGGGAACCACAGGGGAGUAUCUUCUGAUUCUGUGUUCUUUAAGUCUUUAAGUCCCUUGGCUUCUCCUGGAAGUUGUCCGUCUAGCUGGUGUUCUGGGGGAGGGGCCUGUUGUGCUGAUUCUCAGGUGUCAGCAGUUGGGGGAGCUGCUGUGCCCCUGCCUGGUGCAGGGCUCGGUGGGGGUUGUUUACCCCGUGAGGCCGCAGGAGGAACAGCCCCAGUGGCGGGGCAGCUCUGCAGCCCUGGAUUCAGCUCCGGCAGGAACUCCGUCUGCAGGGCCUGGAGGCUCCGGGCGGGGCCGCUGAUCUGCUCAGCUGGGGCAGGAGCGUCCUUGCUGUCCGGGGCCCUCCCGGCCUCUGCCUGUCCCGGGGGGAGGCUGGAUCCUGGGCUGUGUCCCGGCGCCCUGUGCUCCGGAGCCUGCGCUGUUGGAUUCGCGCUCCCGGGCCGCGCAGCCCCCUCCGCGGAGCCGCCGCCCGAGCCCCUCCGAGCUGCUCCUGGAACCGCGCAGCCCCCUCCGCACGGAGCCUCUUCCUCUGCCCGAGCCCGGCCGAGCUGCUCCCGGGGCCGCGCAGCCCCCUCCGCGGAGCCGCCGCCCGAGCCCCUCCGAGCUGCUCCGGGUCCCGCCGAGCGCGCUGCAGCCCUUAGGGAGCUCGGCGCACUCUCCUGGGCGCGCAGUUGCUGUUACUGUCCCGGGGAGCCCGAGGGCAUCUGCUCCCUCCUGUGUCCUGCUCCACCUCCCCGCGAGCCCCUUUCCGCCCGGGAAGGUCGGUGCAGCUCCUGCUCCUCCGGGACGGGGCUCUCCUGUCCUGGGGACACUCGCCCCGGCCUCAGCCCGGCUCCUCGCGGGGCCCCUCACCCUUGGAGGCCUUUGUUCCUUUAUUUCUUUUUCCCCGUCUUCCUACCUUGA